UGGUGUAAUGGUUAGCACUCUGGACUCUGAAUCCAGCUAUCCGAGUUCAGAUCUCGG
This 57-nucleotide transfer RNA is filed under the name Ornithorhynchus anatinus (platypus). It matches the Rfam family "tRNA", at positions 8 to 63 of the family's 71-position model. From Rfam's summary of the family: Transfer RNA (tRNA) molecules are approximately 80 nucleotides in length. Their secondary structure includes four short double-helical elements and three loops (D, anti-codon, and T loops). Lineage: Eukaryota; Metazoa; Chordata; Mammalia; Monotremata; Ornithorhynchidae. The record is from Rfam by way of RNAcentral.